Molecule: ribosomal RNA, 638 nt
Filed under: uncultured Actinomycetes bacterium
Lineage: Bacteria; Bacillati; Actinomycetota; Actinomycetes
Description: bacterial SSU rRNA
Rfam family: Bacterial small subunit ribosomal RNA
Source: RNAcentral
CGCGGCCUAUCAGCUUGUUGGUGAGGUAAUGGCUCACCAAGGCAUCGACGGGUAGCUAGUCUGAGAGGACGAAUAGCCACACUGGGACUGAGACACGGCCCAGACUCCUACGGGAGGCAGCAGUGGGGAAUCUUGCACAACGGGCGAAAGCCUGAUGCAGCGACGCCGCGUGAGGGAUGAAGGCCCUAGGGUCGUAAACCUCUUUCAGUAGGGACGAAAUAGACGGUACCUGCAGAAGAAGCUCCGGCCAACUACGUGCCAGCAGCCGCGGUAAGACGUAGGGGGCGAGCGUUGUCCGGAUUUAUUGGGCGUAAAGGGCUCGUAGGUGGUUGCGUAAGUCGGAUGUGAAAACUCAGGGCUUAACCCUGAGACGCCAUCCGAUACUGCGCUGACUUGAGUCCGGUAGAGGAGUGUGGAAUUCCUAGUGUAGCGGUGAAAUGCGCAGAUAUUAGGAGGAACACCAAUUGCGAAGGCAGCACUCUGGGCCGGUACUGACACUGAGGAGCGAAAGCGUGGGUAGCAAACAGGAUUAGAUACCCUGGUAGUCCACGCCGUAAACGGUGGGCACUAGGUAUGGGGUCUUUCAACGGAUUCCGUACCGUAGCUAACGCAUUAAGUGCCCCGCCUGGGGAGUACGG